AAGUCGUAACAAGGUAACCGUAGGUGAACCUGCGGUUGGAUCAUUAACAAAAACAAAUUAUUUAAAGGAGAGUGAGACCCCAAAAAGGGUUGAUCUCUUUCUUUAAAACACCCUUGUGAACUGUUUAUUGUAUUUGGUGUAGGUUAAAACAAUCUUCAUUGAUUGGCAUUAUGCACCCACACCAACUCUAUUAAAACUUUAUUAUUUUUAUUAUGUCAUUUAUUUUUGUAUUAAAAAAAUUUAAUCAAAAAACAACUUUUGGCAACGGAUCUCUAGGCUCUU
Molecule: unclassified non-coding RNA, 282 nt
Filed under: fungal sp.
Lineage: Eukaryota; Fungi
Description: partial internal transcribed spacer region
Rfam family: Eukaryotic small subunit ribosomal RNA (bases 1-46)
Source: RNAcentral